Molecule: ribosomal RNA, 213 nt
Filed under: uncultured bacterium
Lineage: Bacteria
Description: partial 16S ribosomal RNA
Rfam family: Bacterial small subunit ribosomal RNA
Source: RNAcentral
GAUGAACGCUAGCGGCAGGCCUAAUACAUGCAAGUCGAGGGGCAGCAUAGUAGCAAUACUGAUGGCGACCGGCGCACGGGUGCGUAACGCGUAUGCAACCUACCUUUUACUGGGGGAUAGCCCGGAGAAAUUCGGAUUAACACCGCAUAACAUAUUGAGUUGGCAUCAAUUUAAUAUUAAAUAUUUAUAGGUAAGAGAUGGGCAUGCGUCCAA